CAUAUUUUUAAAACUAACUUCCGGAUUACCAGCAAGACUAAUAAUACCUCCAUUUAGUUAAGCACAAAUGGCUGGAAGGAGAUCACAUGUAUUUUGGUCCAUCGUUAAUAAUUCAGAUCAACUUUAAUUUGGAGUCUCAAUCAAUCAAUAUUGUUUGAUGAUUUAUAAUUAUCAUAGUCGACUCUGAUUCGCUUGAUGGAUACAUUU
This 207-nucleotide small nucleolar RNA is filed under the name Candida albicans. RNAcentral also lists the same sequence under 1 other name. The record is from RNAcentral. Lineage: Eukaryota; Fungi; Ascomycota; Pichiomycetes; Serinales; Debaryomycetaceae.